GUGCUCGCUUCAGCAGCACAUAUACUAAAAUUGGAACAAUACAGAGAAGAUUAGCAUGGCUCUUGAGCAAGGAUGACAUGCAAAUUCAUGAAGCGUUCCAUAUUUUU
Small nuclear RNA from Otolemur garnettii (small-eared galago), 107 nucleotides. Lineage: Eukaryota; Metazoa; Chordata; Mammalia; Primates; Galagidae. The record is from Ensembl.